Molecule: ribosomal RNA, 253 nt
Filed under: uncultured bacterium
Lineage: Bacteria
Description: partial 16S ribosomal RNA
Rfam family: Bacterial small subunit ribosomal RNA
Source: RNAcentral
UACGUAGGGUGCAAGCGUUGAUCGGAAUUAUUGGGCGUAAAGAGCUCGUAGGCGGUUUGUCGCGUCUGCUGUGAAAACCCGAGGCUCAACCUCGGGCCUGCAGUGGGUACGGGCAAACUAGAGUGCGGUAGGGGAGAUUGGAAUUCCUGGUGUAGCGGUGGAAUGCGCAGAUAUCAGGAGGAACACCGAUGGCGAAGGCAGGUCUCUGGGCCGAUACUGACGCUGAGGAGCGAAAGCGUGGGGAGCGAACAGG